CCGUCGAAAGCUCGCCGACGCCAUCUGUAGACGAGGAGCUGCCGUUGCCUGUUGCACGAACCCCGAGGCGCACCCAGUGGCUUGCUCUCUCUCUCUCUCAGCGGCAGUUGUUUUCCCUUUCAUUUCUUCGGCAUAUCCACGUUUUAUAGCGCACUUCUGCCGUGGUCUUUUCUGAGGUGGCGGUGCCGGCCGCUCUGGUGCGUUAGGAAGCGCGUGGUGCUUGGUAUCCAGCUGAGUAUCAGUCGCCUGAACAUACGUCUACACGGACGUGCGAAAGCGGCCCGGCGAUGCGUAUGCCAGUGUAUUUUCUUUUCUCACAUCGCGUGCAAGACUGGUGUGAGCGACAGUAUCCUUCGCGCUAAUUGCCCUACCUGACCUGGAGAGGCUCGUAAAAAAGUCACAUUAGAGUCACGGUCGAACAUAUAAACAUCCAAAUAAAAGGGAGAUGGCCACUCGCUGCCCCGUGCCAGCCAGCCAGCAGUUGCGGGCGCGGCGAAUGCUGAUCACGUACGUGGCCUGCUGUUUGUCGACUGCGACGAGCGCUUCUUGGAAUCAGCGACGAUGCUGCGUAUUCUUUUCGAUGGCCCCGCAGCCACCUUCGAUGCCUCUCGCCAGCCCACCGCCCCUUCAUGACACGAUCGCGGCAGCGACGUCGAAAACCGCCCCUGAGGACUUCGCCGCCGCCUUUGCACGUGCUGCGGCCGACGUAGCCGAUGACCUUCCGCAAGGCGGCAGCUGCGCUACCCAUUUUCAGAGGUCGGCCCACCUUUCCGCCUGGACGGAGUACCUCGUCGGGUUACGCGGCGCACCUCCUAGCAAAACAGCCGAGGCACCUCAGGAGAGCGGCGGUGCCUCGAUGAGGGCCUCGUCCUCUACCGCCGGGGCUCCUCUGACCGGCGACUUUGCGGCUGCACAGGAUAUGUUUCUGCACCAUAUCUUCGACGAUGUUAAGGAAGCGGCAUUGUACUCGACCACUCGCCGCCCAGAGGCGUUUCUGCGCCCUGAGCAAGCGGCGACCGACGUCACUCCUGCGGGCGAGUUUCAGUGGCAGCUUAUGCCGCUAUCAGUGGCGCUGAAGGACAUGGAAGCUGUCCUGCAGGACAUGCUCCUGCGGGAGCAGAGGGAUUGCUUCAAAGGUGAGUCGGCCGGGUUCCCCGCCGACUCGGUGGUCGCGUUUUGGCGCGCCAUGCUGGAGCAGGCAUUCCUCGGACAAUACUGUGAGCUCGCCGCGCUGAAUGCCGGCGACGUGGCAGCACCCGGUGCGCCGCAACAUUGGCUGCAGCACAUCUACCCUUACGACUACUCCCGGCAACCGGCAGGACUGCGACGGCGUCUCGAGAGUGGCAUCCGUGCGCUUCUCUGCUCAUCUGCCUACACACUUCACAUGCACUGGGAGCAGCACAUGGCGCGCCAUCAUCCAUCGGAUGGCGCUGCAACGAUCUUGGGGCUCGAGUUUGUCAUGCUUUGGUGGUGGGCUAAUCCGGAUCAGAUGCCAAUUGAGGUAUCCCUCUCUGCGGCUCGACUGCCGCCACCGACGCGGCAGUCGUUGCGACAGCAAGAGUCGCCAUCGGAGGCGGCUGCUUUGGGACACCACGAAGCUAGCAGGCGGCAGCCAGCCGCGUCACCGAGGCGAGCAGUGGAUACCUCAAUGGCACCGCCAUCUGUUGAGCAGCAUUUGCAGCGCUACCUCGCUCACCAUUUGGGCUCGGGUAGCGCCGAUGCGCAUACCCAUCCUCAGCAUGAGCAGCAACUGCGGCAGCAGCGGCGUCGCCAUGUACUCCGCGACGGUGGUCUUCUCUGUCCGGCAGCGGUGUUUCCUCCAGCAUACCAAGACGCGCUCCGUGCACACUUGGCCCGCGUGCGCGACAGGAAAAGCCUGACCACAUGCCCAUUGUUCCUGCGCUUGGUGGAGGUGGCUCUGGCGGUGGCCACAUCCGAUGCGGCGGCCGUAAGUGGGGGCAACGUGCCAAGCUCGUCGGCACACCCCGCCCAAUGCAAGCUUCUGAGCGCGGCUGCCCGCCGCGGUCGAGAAAUCGCCAUUCAGCUUUGCCAAGAGUGGCUGUGGCCAGUGGUAUGCGGUCGCUCUUCUCCGCUCACGAUGCCAUCGAUCGGGCAGGCGCCUCAGCGUUGUAGCGCCGCCGUCGCGCACGCGCCGCCACACGCCGAGUCGAUGGAGACAUUUGAGGACUGGGCUGUGCUGAUAGCAGCCGUAGCGGCGGUGUCGCAGGUGCGCGGCAACCUGCUCGCGUUGCGGCGUGCGGGCGGAGCGAGUGUGCAAGGAAGGCGUGAAGGAGCGCAUUGCGCGACCAUCCCCGGAGCCGGCGGUAGCAGCAGUGAAGAGGCGGAUGCUGCGACGUUGGAUAGAGGCACGAGCCUCGCUCACGUUCGUGACCACCUCUAUAUGCCUCUGAUGCGAGCCUUGCUGGCCGACCGCGAAGAUGUGUCGUCCAGUGACGACGAGCGUUCUGUCGAUGUCUACGGUGUGACAGUGCCAGACGACAUGCCUGGUUGGGUGGCCCUUGUAUUCGCGCGCGUGUCCGCCUGCUUUGAGGAGGCCGGGAUGCUGCAACGCGACGUAGCCCGCCAGCCUGCGACCCCUGCGCGGCUCUGGUGCCUUCUCUUCCACGCCAUGUGUGACGCGUUCCCCGGCGUCUUUCAUUCGCGCAACACCGUGACGGUCAUGUGGACGCUGCUGGCGCUCGAGGGAGUUUGCGCGGGGCCGUCGCUCUACUACAGCACCUAUCGCGCGACAAAUGCCGGCAAAACACAGACGAUGUCCGCGUGGCUGAACACGCUGGCAGUUUGGAACAGCUCCAUCGUAGGUGCUACCGAGCUUGCCCAGUUGGAGACACUGCCGAGCUGCGCCGGUGAAAACGAAGGUGUGGCUGCAUGCGCGCUGUGCCCGCAGACAGAGAGGUGCCAGCGGACCGCGUUUGUUCUCUCGACUGCCGUGGUCGAAACUUCAGCUAACGAUGGUGAUCUGAGACCCUCGGGAGUCGGAGCGUCUCCGGCACACUCGCGACAAGGGAGGAGGCGCGGUAGAGUGACGUCUCUUCCCUCAUUCGCCAGUACUUUGUCUCCUGCAUUACCACUGCAGCGGAGCUCCGCAGCUGCACUCGCCCAAGCGCAGGCCCAUCUCACCUCCUGCGUGGAGCUGUCUGAAGAGGUGGUGACGGUUUCCAUCGAGGUCUUCCGGCGAUACGCAACGCUGCCGGUGUCGGUGCCUGGCGUGAGGACGCUGCCCUCCAUCGAGACUGCUGCAUCGGUGCCCCACGUGGGAGAGGAGCGACACCGCCAUAACGGCGACAGGCUACCGACAGAGGCGGCGUUGUUGCGGCCUCGGGGGCACCCAUCAUUGAUGGUGCUUCUCCGCCUUCUUCAGGUUGUGGCACUGUUCGGUGAAGCCGGAAACCCCGCAUCUGUCGGCGAUCCUGGUCUUGUCCAAUGCGUGGUGGAUGAUGUGAUGCGUGCAUGUCAUCCUGUGGUUGCUGCGUACCUGCGCAGGCUGCGCGUCUACGCGGCGGCAGCGUCAGGGAGAAGCGGUGCCCUGGCGCUGCUACACAAUGAAGCACUGCAGAGUGCACUAGAUAGCCUUCCUCCCUCACUAGGGCGGCAGCGUCUCAUGAAGGCGUUGCUGUGGUCUGGACUGCCAGCCUCCGCGUUGGAGAAAGGAAAGGCGACCGAGGCAGUAGUGUACGGCAGCGGCUCUCUUGCAUGGUAUGUACUGGAGAGAAAUCAGCAGCGGUUCCUCGCCUUCAACGAACACAACACGUCUGCCGCCGCAUCCAUCGACACGGCGGACGGCAGACACCACAAGCGGCAGCCAUUCUCCACCCACGAGAGAAGCGAAAGAGGCAGCGGCGCAGGCGAUGGCACGAACAGUUUCGCAGAAGUGGUGUCUUGCUUGGAUGAGGUUGUGAAGCACCUUUGGCAGUUGGCGAUCGCUAUCCCAGACACGGCCCGUGUUGCCCUCUUCCUUUACCCGUACGUGAAAAAUGUCGUGGAAAGGCGCACUAGCCAAGACACAGCCGUGAACUCUCCGGAAACGGACGUCAAGUGUUCUGAUGAAGGCGCGUCGGCGCCAACUAGCUGCGACAGCGAUGGGGUGGCCGACAAUGAACCCGAGUCCGCCCGGGUGAGCAGCGACGAAGACACAUCACCCGCCUUGUCCACCGCCGCUGCUGGCGAAGACAUACCCGAUGCGUUGGAGUGCGAAAGCGGCGCCCUCCUGGAAGGCACAGCAGACGAGUGCCUCGACGCCGAAGUCGAGGGGGUCGACGUUACUGCGGACUGGGGCACGAGCACUUUGCCCGUGGAGGAUGACUUCGACGACGACGUGGCGGCCGUCGUGCCUGCAGCAGAGGACGCGCACGCACCACUGAUCGCCGCCUCGCUGUGGGACUCGCGCGCGGCGGUCAGAUCUUCUGUGACCCGCGAUGCAACGCAGCAUGAAGACAACGACAUCACACCCGUGCGCAGCCAUGACGAACACGGCGUAAAACAUGGGGACUCGACGGAAGGCGCAGACAGCUACGACACACCGACGCACCAUGACGAAUAUCGCGCGCUAGCACACGCGCUGCUACUCGCCACACCUGCGGCGCAGCACAUCUUCUCUUCGCUGCUCGAGGUGCUCUCUUGGACAGCCACGCCGCAGACAUCUUCGACAGACAGCGCGACGAGCUGGGCUCUCGUCUGCCCUCUAGGCCAUGCGCAACUGUCAGGUGACAUUGGUUGCCAUUGGCGCGCACGACUGGCUGCCAAUUACGGCAAGUGCGUGUCUGUGUGGCAGGCGCACUGCCAUCUCACCAGCGCGAGUGCAGCGGCCACGCCGGGGGCGGCCGUGCUGUGUCGGCCACAGACCAUAGAGCGCGUCGCUCUUCUCCUUUUGCAGUCGUGCCCUGACGUCUAUGUACUGGGGCUGCUACUCCUUGCGAUGGCGGGUGGCGCAGCGGAUACUCAGGACGUGUCGCGCAGUGCAGCGGAAGCGUUUGCACGUCGUCUCCGACGCACUGGCUCGCUGCUUCCGUGGUCAGUCGAGUCGUCUCUGGCGCAGCUUCUUUUUCACGCCGGUGUGACGGCUGCGAGUGUGCGACGGUGGCGCGCGGAGCGUGGGUUGACAGACGGCUCGGCGGUGCGCUGCGGCACGGUAGGCGCUGCCUCCGCAGCGCUUCUGCAUGUUGCGGACCAUCGCAGGCUGCUGCAGCGCGUGCGAAAAAACUCGGGCACAGUGGGCGGUGGAGGCGGCACCAGUGUUGCCGAUUACGAGGUGAAGCGUGAUCUGCUGCUGAGCAUGGGCAGCCUACUCCUCUGCUCUCUGCAGCAGCGGGGUGCACCGGGGUCGCAGUGCCAUGAACUGUAUCGGUACAAUGCUUACGUGAACGAGUUUCUUCUUCACCGCAUGCCCGCCGUGGAGACCGGACGGUUUUCGCCAUCGUCGUCGUCGCCGGAUGUGCCCAUCACCGCCCUGCGCGUCCUUCUCCCGUCUGCGCAGCUAAGCAGUCCGUCCCCUAGCAGCAUGCCGCCGCAGCAGGUCGUCUCCCUGAGAAUCGCGUGGCAGCGCCGCAUCGGGCGUUCGGACAGGGCGACACUGCGAAGGUGCUUCCAAACAACAGAUGCCUGUGCAACUACGGUAAAGCACGACGGCACCUACUGCGACAACUUCGCUUCCGUACAGAAAGAAGAGCCCAUGGGCGAGAACGAAGACUACGCCGCAGCAUUCGCCUAACGUCACGGCACAGCCAAGAUUUUUGUGCCUGAAAGUCUAAACAGCUCCAAAGCAUGCCGAGCUCUCUGCCUAUCACCUCUUCUUGCCUCUCACACUGGCACUGCGCACACCACGACGACCACCGCGCACCGCUACCGCUGCUGUCUUGUGCAGUGAGUUGCUUGCCUCACUGCUCACAGAUUUCCCAC
This 5916-nucleotide unclassified non-coding RNA is filed under the name Leishmania donovani. Its description in RNAcentral is "gene:LdHU3.33.1230(CDS-product:hypothetical_prote in_conserved)". Lineage: Eukaryota; Euglenozoa; Kinetoplastea; Trypanosomatida; Trypanosomatidae. The record is from RNAcentral.